RNAcentral lists this ribosomal RNA (942 nucleotides) under Spauligodon sp. type Canarian D. Its description in RNAcentral is "eukaryotic LSU rRNA". It matches the Rfam family "Eukaryotic large subunit ribosomal RNA", at positions 139 to 842 of the family's 3401-position model. Lineage: Eukaryota; Metazoa; Nematoda; Chromadorea; Rhabditida; Pharyngodonidae. The record is from RNAcentral.
GGAACUGUAGCGUAUAGGUGCAACUGUUCAAUUGGCUUUACAUACUCCAAGUUCCCUUGACUGAGGCUACAGUCCAGAGAAGGUGCUAGACCUGUAGGAGUAGUGAAACCAGUUGAUAUUGGUUGUACUAUUGAGUCGAGUUGUUUGAAAUUGCAGCUCAAAGUAGGUGGUAAACCUCAUCUAAGGCUAAAUAUGACCACGAGACCGAUAGCGAACAAGUACCGUGAGGGAAAGUUGCAAAGAACUUUGAAGAGAGAGUUCAAGAGGGCGUGAAACCGCUUAGAUGGAAGCGGAUAGAGUUAACAAAACACAGCAGCAAUCAUCCGGUUAUAUGCGGAGUAUGUUUUUCUGUUAACGCUUACACUUUACUGUUGUACGCAUGUACGGCAGCGGUAGUUUGCGUUCGGUUAACAUAUAAAGCAUUUGACCGGUGCUCUUGCUGUUGUUAUGCACUGAGGGGCUUGCAAUAGGUACGGAACAGCUAAAUGAAAGAGGCCUAUAUUUGUUUUGAAUAUAGAAACCUUUUAUUGGUUUGUCCGCUAUCCUUUGUAAGUUCAGCAAGCAUCUACGUCUGCUUAAUAGCGUAGUUCAACUGCUUUGUAGUAAGUGUAGAGUGAUUUGGAUUUGUCGUUUUUUCGGCCUGUCCUAUCCUUUGUGUUUACUUCUAUUGCUGGUUGUUAACUACUGUAGACGGAGCUCCACAGUGUAUACAAAAAGUUAAUCACCUAUCCGACCCGUCUUGAAACACGGACCAAGGAGUUUAGCAUAUAUGCAAGUCAUUGGGUGUUGAAAACCUAAAGGCGUAAUGAAAAUAAGUAUAUGGGAUCUGUAUGCUGCUGAUUGUUGUGUACAGCGCACCAUAGUCCUGUUAAUAUUGCAUGCGAUUUAGCGGAGAUAGAGCACAUAUGCUGAGACCCGAAAGAUGGUGAACUAUGCUUGAGC